RNAcentral lists this ribosomal RNA (253 nucleotides) under uncultured bacterium. Its description in RNAcentral is "partial 16S ribosomal RNA". It matches the Rfam family "Bacterial small subunit ribosomal RNA", at positions 524 to 776 of the family's 1533-position model. The record is from RNAcentral.
UACGAAGGGGGCUAGCGUUGCUCGGAAUUACUGGGCGUAAAGCGCGCGUAGGCGGCUUUCUAAGUCGGGGGUGAAAUCCUGGAGCUCAACUCCAGAACUGCCUUCGAUACUGGAGAGCUUGAGUCCGGGAGAGGUGAGUGGAACUGCGAGUGUAGAGGUGAAAUUCGUAGAUAUUCGCAAGAACACCAGUGGCGAAGGCGGCUCACUGGCCCGGUACUGACGCUGAGGUGCGAAAGCGUGGGGAGCAAACAGG